This 253-nucleotide ribosomal RNA is filed under the name uncultured bacterium. RNAcentral's name for it is "partial 16S ribosomal RNA". It matches the Rfam family "Bacterial small subunit ribosomal RNA", at positions 524 to 776 of the family's 1533-position model. The record is from RNAcentral.
UACGUAGGGUGCAAGCGUUGUCCGGAAUUAUUGGGCGUAAAGAGCUCGUAGGCGGUCUGUCGCGUCUGCUGUGAAAACUCGGGGCUUAACCCCGGGCCUGCAGUGGGUACGGGCAGACUAGAGUGCGGUAGGGGAGACUGGAAUUCCUGGUGUAGCGGUGAAAUGCGCAGAUAUCAGGAGGAACACCGGUGGCGAAGGCGGGUCACUGGCUCGGAACUGACGCUGAGGUGCGAAAGCGUGGGGAGCAAACAGG